This is a non-coding RNA of Potamilus streckersoni, 69 nucleotides long. The record is from the annotation of a GenBank genome assembly. NCBI's taxonomy places the organism in Eukaryota, Metazoa, Mollusca, Bivalvia, Unionida, Unionidae.
CAGUGGCCUAAUGGCAGAACAUCUGCCUUAGAUACAGGAGGGUGCAGGUUCGAACCCUGGCCAAAUCGU